CACCGCCCGUCACACCAUGGGAGUUGAUUGCACCAGAAGCAGGGUAGCCUGACCGCAAGGAGGGCGCUUACCACGGUGUGGGUUAAUGACUGGGGGUG
This 98-nucleotide ribosomal RNA is filed under the name uncultured bacterium. RNAcentral's name for it is "partial 16S ribosomal RNA". The record is from RNAcentral.